UUACGGGAGGCUGCAGUGGGGAAUAUUGGACAAUGGGCGAAAGCCUGAUCCAGCCAUGCCGCGUGUGUGAAGAAGGCCUUCGGGUUGUAAAGCACUUUCAGUGGGGAAGAAAGCCUUGGGGCUAAUACCCUCGAGGAAGGACAUCACCCACAGAAGAAGCACCGGCUAACUCCGUGCCAGCAGCCGCGGUAAUACGGAGGGUGCGAGCGUUAAUCGGAAUUACUGGGCGUAAAGCGCGCGUAGGCGGUCUGAUAAGCCGGUUGUGAAAGCCCCGGGCUCAACCUGGGAACGGCAUCCGGAACUGUCAGGAUAGAGUGCAGGAGAGGAAGGUAGAAUUCCCGGUGUAGCGGUGAAAUGCGUAGAGAUCGGGAGGAAUACCAGUGGCGAAGGCGGCCUUCUGGACUGACACUGACGCUGAGGUGCGAAAGCGUGGGUAGCAAACAGGAUUAGAUACCCGGGUAGUC
Molecule: ribosomal RNA, 464 nt
Filed under: Vreelandella stevensii
Lineage: Bacteria; Pseudomonadati; Pseudomonadota; Gammaproteobacteria; Oceanospirillales; Halomonadaceae
Description: partial 16S ribosomal RNA
Rfam family: Bacterial small subunit ribosomal RNA
Source: RNAcentral